Paramuricea clavata is the source of this 249-nucleotide non-coding RNA. NCBI's taxonomy places the organism in Eukaryota, Metazoa, Cnidaria, Anthozoa, Malacalcyonacea, Plexauridae. The record is from the annotation of a GenBank genome assembly.
GACGUCGAAUAUCGACGUCAUAAACACCAAAGUUGAUCGUGUUUAUGACGUCGAAUAUCGACGUCAUAAACACCAAAGUUGAUCGUGUUUAUGACGUCGAAUAUCGACGUCAUAAACACCAAAGUUGAUGGUGUUUAUUGCGUCGAAUAUCGACGUCAUAAACACCAAAGUUGAUCGUGUUGAUGACCUGCAAUAUGGACGUCAUUAACACCAAAGUUGAUCGUGUUUAUGACGUCGAAUAUCGACGUC